Molecule: long non-coding RNA, 3657 nt
Organism: Lolium perenne
Lineage: Eukaryota; Viridiplantae; Streptophyta; Magnoliopsida; Poales; Poaceae
Source: RefSeq, a predicted model, not a curated record
CCUUUUUUUUUGGCGGUUUCUUUCUCUAAUCGGGGUGAGCUAUCCACUCCGCGCUGCUUCUCGACCUAUUCCAAUCGGGAGAGAAAGCGGCGAGCGGUUCUGAAGGCGAGCGGAGCUUUCGAUGGCGAUCGUGCGGCAUCUGAGGGUAUUCUCGUCGGCCGGCGGCUGGAUCGUGGGAGGGAGGCGGCUGGAUCGUGGGAGGGAGGCGGCUGGAUCGUGGGAGGGAGGCGGCGCUGUUAGAGGCUUCACGACGGAGUCUUCGGAUGGCGCGGGUGCGGCCUCGUCGGCCGGCGGCAACAUCAAGGCAGUCGCGGUUGCGCGAGGCUUUGCGGCAUGGUGGGUGAUCUGCACCCCGGCGAGUGGCCGAUGCGGGGGCUCCCUGGCGUGGUGGGUGGCCUGCAACGCGGCGAGUUGCCCCAACCUCCAGAUCCGUCGAAAUUAUCUGGCCUGGUGGGUGGUCGGCGCGGCUUGCGUCCUGCGGGCGGCGUUGCGUGUGUAUUUGGUAUCCUGGCUCCGUCCGCUCGUGGACGUCAAGGCGGCGGCGAGACGGUUGGGAGUUGAACAUUGCGGCGGCGAGCGGCUGCACGGCCGGUGGCGAGCGGCGGCUGUUCUAUCCGCACUUCGUGUGUCCUCGGCUCCGUCGUGGUUGGCUUGUGGAAGCUGCGCGUCGUGGUUGGCCGGCUGGAUCGGCUGUAAUGGCAGGUGCAGAUUAGUGGUAGUUUGCAGACCAAUAAAGAGGGGGCGUCGAUGACCAUCCGGCCGAGUCCGGAGGAGGUACCGCUGGAAAUCGAGAGGUUGUCGAUGGAGAGUAGGCGUUAGAGGCGGGUGGUGGAGGGGAUCGGCGUGCAGAGGUCGCGGCACGACAUCACCGUCUCCUGCUGUCUCCAGGUCUCCUCCGGCGACCGCCUGCACAAGCUGCUGCCACCUCCGACCUUAUGCUCCGGCAGCAGCUGCGAUCCCCAACCUCCACCAAUUGCCGUAAGCAAUCACCACCCCUUUUAUCUGAGAGCCACAAUCGUCCAAACCUCCAGAUCCCGUCCAUGUCCCGCGACUUUCAGACGAUUCCCAUGGUUAGGGAUGCUUCUCGACGCCUGGCCUUGAACCUGACCUCUUUGCCCAUCUCUCUUCCUCCUUCCAUCUAAUCUGUUGUGCCUCCCGUGGGUAAUAGCUUGUGUAUGGAUUGGAUCGGCGUCCUCCUGCGGCUGCCAUAACGCUAGCAGAUAUCCACGAAUUGGGCAUCUAGCCCCUUGCAAUUUUACGUCAGCUUUCAGUUUGGGUACUGGGCUACUGGCUAAAUGAUAUUUUCAUUGGGAAGUUCUUCUACUAACUCCUGAUUUGCGUGGAGAUACCAAAUUUCAAUUCCAAAAGAUAAUUAUUGGUCUCCAAGUAGUGUUGAUUUUUUACUUCGUUUGUUCAAAUGGAAAUAGCGCUGACUUUUUAACUCAAUUUGUUGAUGUAGAGAUCCAGGUGAGGCCAAGUCUUCUACAGAUAAGGUAAGAUAAGUAAUUAAUUUACCUCAUUCUAGGUCUUUGUAGUUAUUUUAGCUUUAUAAGUCUAUCAAUUAAUUUAUCCAUGAUUAGGAGCUUAGGUAUUAAUUAAAUGCAGACUUCAUUUUAGCUUUAUUAGUGUAAUACAUCCAUGUACCCUGUAUGUAAACUCAUUCUAUCUAUAUGCACACCAAUUGGCAACAGAUAUAGGAGCUGAAUACGGUUCACAUUGAACUCAUGUGUGCAUUUACAUUAUUGCGUCCAUAAUUUCGAGUUUGUCCCUAUAUAAAAAUUGUAAAAUAUGUUUCUAACUUUUCAUAGAGACUCGGUUUGUGCAUUUUGGUUGAAUCUAUUUGUGUUCAGCGGUAAGUUUACUUAUAACAGGUUUUCGCUUCCAUUCUGCAUCCUUCUUUUCGGUUCAUAACUGUUCAAUUUUCUUCGACAUAGUUUUGUUGCUGUAAAAAUGAAUUUGAGACAAUUAAUUCUGCAUCAUUUUUAAUUUCUGGGCUACAGUCUUGCGUUGGUGGGCACGAUUAGCUAGGUUCUAUGUGAACGUACCAAACCAAAAGAUAUGUGUACUGGUUUUAUUAAUGCUAUUAUGAAAUGCAUUUUGGUUAGGAAUUAUGAGUUAAACGAAGCUCACACAUAGUUUCUUGUGGUAGUUUCGAUGGCGUAUCCUUCCUAUGAACGUACUUUGUUUCAGUUUUCUGAUACCUUGUUUCAGCUGAAGUGCAUAUUUUAUUUGGUAUGUAUGUUUAUAAUCAGAAUGGUAUACUAUGUCUGAAAGAAUUUUUUGCAACCCUUGUAAGCUUAUUUGUCUUUUACCCUUGAUGUAUGCUUUGAGUAAAAAAUAAUUUUCGUUGUUCAUGUACUGAAUUGUCACACCAUCUUGAUUUGAGUUGAGCUAGCUUUUGACAGAGCCAUCUUGAAUAAACUCUGAGCUAUUUGACUGAGGCUGCGCGCCCUAUUGCUCAUAACAAACCUUGUCUAUGUGGCUCACAGCGCGGGGUGUCGUAAUUUUUUUUUACCCGGGAUGGUUUCUUUAAAAUAGGGGUUGUGGGAUUUGGUAGCUUACCACUAACCUUGUCACCUUCAGUUAUUUUUUUCCUUCCUGGUAUUCAAUCGUGCGCCACGACGGUGAGCGGUUGGGAGAACGCAUGCGCGGCUAGCGGCCGGCGCGCGCUCUGGGUAUCAUUUGCUCCCCUGUCACCUCUUUCUUUUUCCUUCCUGGUAUUGGACAGGUGGUGUUGGUCGACUGGCUGGAUCGGCGGCAAUGACGGUGUGCUGGCGUGGUACACAUCGGUGGUGGUUGCCUGCUGCGCUGGUCUAGCAGCGCGGUGGGUUGUGGCAACGGGCUGAAUUGAUAUCGUUGUCGUACAUUAUGGCGGUGGUGGAUGAGGGCGGCAUCGGCAUCGGCAUCGGCCACCUCUUGCUCUAUCUCCGGAUUCCCUCCGUCGACCACCUCCUGCUACGUUGCCAGCUCCCCUCCGUCGCGAAGGCCCUAGACUGUGCACGUCCGAGGCAUACCAUAUCGAUCUCCACCAUCGACCUGUAUGGUGACCGAUGUAGGAGCACCUGAAGAAUCCAAGUUCAGCCAGGAGUGCAAGUGUUGAGGUAUGAUGGGUUUUUGGCAGAUUCACGUUCCGUGAUGUCACAGAGGUGAAGUAGAGAAGAGACACUGGGACGGUCUUCUGGCUGGUGCCUAGUAUAUCAAGUAUAUGGCACUGCAGCAGGUAGCAUAGAUGGUAUGCAAUGCUGCGGGUGGCCUCGUCUGCGACAUCAUCGACGUAUGGGACAGACGGCGAUGUUCAAAAUAUUAAGUGGGAUUGGGGGUGUGUCCUGCUCCUGGGUACACAAUGAAAUGUAGAGCUGCACCGCAUGUUGUGGUCUUCAGCGCCGGGCUGCCUAGUACGGUGGAAAUACAACAUCAAAGUGUCGUCUAGUGGAGCUGAUGUAACUAAAUAAUUUGCAUCGACUCAUGUAAUUUAUUACAUGUUAACAUAUUAAUUCCUUUACUUUUGAAAUGCGCGCAAUGCCUGAAAUAUGUAGACACAUGUGUGCAUGGACACACUAGAGUUCUUGCUCAAGCCGUACGUGUAAAACUUGCAUUGUGUAAUCAGGGCAAUCAGGCCAUCCUUACUAUUCUUACAGGCAUUAAACUUUUACAUCA